UCGUACGCUUCUUUUUCCACCGGAGCUUGCUCCACCGGAAAAAGAGGAGUGGCGAACGGGUGAGUAACACGUGGGUAACCUGCCCAUCAGAAGGGGAUAACACUUGGAAACAGGUGCUAAUACCGUAUAACAAUCGAAACCGCAUGGUUUUGAUUUGAAAGGCGCUUUCGGGUGUCACUGAUGGAUGGACCCGCGGUGCAUUAGCUAGUUGGUGAGGUAACGGCUCACCAAGGCCACGAUGCAUAGCCGACCUGAGAGGGUGAUCGGCCACAUUGGGACUGAGACACGGCCCAAACUCCUACGGGAGGCAGCAGUAGGGAAUCUUCGGCAAUGGACGAAAGUCUGACCGAGCAACGCCGCGUGAGUGAAGAAGGUUUUCGGAUCGUAAAACUCUGUUGUUAGAGAAGAACAAGGAUGAGAGUAACUGUUCAUCCCUUGACGGUAUCUAACCAGAAAGCCACGGCUAACUACGUGCCAGCAGCCGCGGUAAUACGUAGGUGGCAAGCGUUGUCCGGAUUUAUUGGGCGUAAAGCGAGCGCAGGCGGUUUCUUAAGUCUGAUGUGAAAGCCCCCGGCUCAACCGGGGAGGGUCAUUGGAAACUGGGAGACUUGAGUGCAGAAGAGGAGAGUGGAAUUCCAUGUGUAGCGGUGAAAUGCGUAGAUAUAUGGAGGAACACCAGUGGCGAA
This 686-nucleotide ribosomal RNA is filed under the name uncultured bacterium. RNAcentral's name for it is "bacterial SSU rRNA". It matches the Rfam family "Bacterial small subunit ribosomal RNA", at positions 62 to 719 of the family's 1533-position model. The record is from RNAcentral.